Molecule: ribosomal RNA, 292 nt
Filed under: uncultured bacterium
Lineage: Bacteria
Description: partial 16S ribosomal RNA
Rfam family: Bacterial small subunit ribosomal RNA
Source: RNAcentral
GUGCCAGCAGCCGCGGUAAUACGAAGGGUGCAAGCGUUACUCGGAAUUACUGGGCGUAAAGCGUGCGUAGGUGGUUUGUUAAGUCCGAUGUGAAAGCCCUGGGCUCAACCUGGGAAUGGCAUUGGAUACUGGCAGGCUAGAGUGCGGUAGAGGGGUGUGGAAUUCCCGGUGUAGCAGUGAAAUGCGUAGAUAUCGGGAGGAACAUCUGUGGCGAAGGCGACACCCUGGACCAGCACUGACACUGAGGCACGAAAGCGUGGGGAGCAAACAGGAUUAGAAACCCCUGUAGUCC